This 420-nucleotide ribosomal RNA is filed under the name uncultured bacterium. Its description in RNAcentral is "bacterial SSU rRNA". It matches the Rfam family "Bacterial small subunit ribosomal RNA", at positions 360 to 772 of the family's 1533-position model. The record is from RNAcentral.
AAUACUGGACAAUGGGGGCAACCCUGAUCCAGCCAUGCCGCGUGUGUGAAGAAGGCCUUUUGGUUGUAAAGCACUUUAAGCAGCGAAGGAGACCUAACGGUUAAUACCCGUUAGCGAUGACAUUAGCUGCAGAAGAAGCACCGGCUAACGUGCUUCCAGCAGCCGCGGUAAUACAGAGGGUGCAAGCGUUAAUCGGAAUUACUGGGCGUAAAGCGAGCGUAGGUGGCUUGAUAAGUCAGAUGUGAAAUCCCCGGGCUUAACCUGGGAACUGCAUCUGAUACUGUUGGGCUAGAGUAGGUGAGAGGGAGGUAGAAUUUCAGGUGUAGCGGUGAAAUGCGUAGAGAUCUGAAGGAAUACCGAUGGCGAAGGCAGCCUCCUGGCAUCAUACUGACACUGAGGUUCGAAAGCGUGGGUAGCAAA